AGCAUUAUACAGCGAAACUGCGAAUGGCUCAUUAUAUAAGUUAUCGUUUAUUUGAUAGUGCCUUACUACUUGGAUAACCGUGGUAAUUCUAGAGCUAAUACAUGCUGAAAGCCCCGACUCACGGAGGGGCGUAUUUAUUAGAUUAAAAACCAAUGCCCUUCGGGGCUCCUUGGUGAUUCAUGAUAACUUCUCGAAUCGCACGGCCUUGCGCCGGCGAUGGUUCAUUCAAAUUUCUUCCCUAUCAACUUUCGAUGUUUGGGUAGUGGCCAAACAUGGUGGCAACGGGUAACGGAGGGUUAGGGCUCGACCCCGGAGAAGGAGCCUGAGAAACGGCUCCUACAUCCAAGGAAGGCAGCAGGCGCGCAAAUUACCCAAUCCCGACUCGGGGAGGUAGUGACAAUAAAUACUGAUGCAGGGCUCUUUAGGGUCUUGCAAUUGGAAUGAGUACAAUUUAAAUCCCUUAACGAGGAACAAUUGGAGGGCAAGUCUGGUGCCAGCAGCCGCGGUAACUCCAGCUCCAAUAGCGUAUAUUAAAGUUGUUGUGGUUAAAAAGCUCGUAGUUGAACCUUGGGCCUGGCCGUCCGGUCCGCCUCACCGCGUGCACUGGCACGGCCGGGCCUUCCCACCGCGGAAUCGCAUGCCCUUUACUGGGCGUGUCGGGGAAGCGGUACUUUUACUGUGAAAAAAUUAGAGUGCUCUAAGCAGGCCUAUGCUCGAAUACAUUAGCAUGGAAUAAUAGAAUAGGACAGGCGUUCUAUUUUGUUGGUUUCUAGGACGUCUGUAAUGAUUAACAGAAACAAUCGGGGGCGUCAGUAUUGCAUCGUCAGAGGUGAAAUUCUUAGAUCGACGCAAGACUAACUACUGCGAAAGCAUUCGCCAAGGGUGUUUUCAUUAAUCAGGAACGAAAGUUAGGGGAUCGAAGACGAUCAGAUACCGUCGUAGUCUUAACCAUAAACUAUGCCGACUAGGGAUCGGGCGGUGUUAAUUUUUGACCCGCUCGGCACCUUACGAGAAAUCUUAAGUGCUGG
This 1028-nucleotide ribosomal RNA is filed under the name Microthecium fimicola. Its description in RNAcentral is "SSU rRNA". It matches the Rfam family "Eukaryotic small subunit ribosomal RNA", at positions 68 to 1109 of the family's 1831-position model. The record is from RNAcentral. Lineage: Eukaryota; Fungi; Ascomycota; Sordariomycetes; Coronophorales; Ceratostomataceae.